This 1506-nucleotide ribosomal RNA is filed under the name metagenome. Its description in RNAcentral is "bacterial SSU rRNA". It matches the Rfam family "Bacterial small subunit ribosomal RNA". The record is from RNAcentral.
AGAGUUUGAUCCUGGCUCAGGACGAACGCUGGCGGCGUGCCUAAUACAUGCAAGUAGAACGCUGAAGAGAGGAGCUUGCUCUUCUUGGAUGAGUUGCGAACGGGUGAGUAACGCGUAGGUAACCUGCCUUGUAGCGGGGGAUAACUAUUGGAAACGAUAGCUAAUACCGCAUAACAAUGGAUGACACAUGUCAUUUAUUUGAAAGGGGCAAUUGCUCCACUACAAGAUGGACCUGCGUUGUAUUAGCUAGUAGGUGAGGUAAUGGCUCACCUAGGCGACGAUACAUAGCCGACCUGAGAGGGUGAUCGGCCACACUGGGACUGAGACACGGCCCAGACUCCUACGGGAGGCAGCAGUAGGGAAUCUUCGGCAAUGGGGGCAACCCUGACCGAGCAACGCCGCGUGAGUGAAGAAGGUUUUCGGAUCGUAAAGCUCUGUUGUAAGUCAAGAACGGGUGUGAGAGUGGAAAGUUCACACUGUGACGGUAGCUUACCAGAAAGGGACGGCUAACUACGUGCCAGCAGCCGCGGUAAUACGUAGGUCCCGAGCGUUGUCCGGAUUUAUUGGGCGUAAAGCGAGCGCAGGCGGUUUGAUAAGUCUGAAGUUAAAGGCUGUGGCUCAACCAUAGUUCGCUUUGGAAACUGUCAAACUUGAGUGCAGAAGGGGAGAGUGGAAUUCCAUGUGUAGCGGUGAAAUGCGUAGAUAUAUGGAGGAACACCGGUGGCGAAAGCGGCUCUCUGGUCUGUAACUGACGCUGAGGCUCGAAAGCGUGGGGAGCGAACAGGAUUAGAUACCCUGGUAGUCCACGCCGUAAACGAUGAGUGCUAGGUGUUGGAUCCUUUCCGGGAUUCAGUGCCGCAGCUAACGCAUUAAGCACUCCGCCUGGGGAGUACGACCGCAAGGUUGAAACUCAAAGGAAUUGACGGGGGCCCGCACAAGCGGUGGAGCAUGUGGUUUAAUUCGAAGCAACGCGAAGAACCUUACCAGGUCUUGACAUCCCGAUGCUAUUUCUAGAGAUAGAAAGUUACUUCGGUACAUCGGUGACAGGUGGUGCAUGGUUGUCGUCAGCUCGUGUCGUGAGAUGUUGGGUUAAGUCCCGCAACGAGCGCAACCCCUAUUGUUAGUUGCCAUCAUUCAGUUGGGCACUCUAGCGAGACUGCCGGUAAUAAACCGGAGGAAGGUGGGGAUGACGUCAAAUCAUCAUGCCCCUUAUGACCUGGGCUACACACGUGCUACAAUGGUUGGUACAACGAGUUGCGAGUCGGUGACGGCGAGCUAAUCUCUUAAAGCCAAUCUCAGUUCGGAUUGUAGGCUGCAACUCGCCUACAUGAAGUCGGAAUCGCUAGUAAUCGCGGAUCAGCACGCCGCGGUGAAUACGUUCCCGGGCCUUGUACACACCGCCCGUCACAACACGAGAGUUUGUAACACCCGAAGUCGGUGAGGUAACCUUUUGGAGCCAGCCGCCUAAGGUGGGACAGAUGAUUGGGGUGAAGUCGUAACAAGGUA